UAAGCGAAAACCUGAAGCAGCCUAUAGGUAUCCCAAGUAGGGCCGCACACGUGAAACGUGGUCUGAAUCUGGGGGGCCCACCCUCCAAGGCUAAAUACUCGCCAGUGACCGAUAGUGAACCAGUACCGUGAGGGAAAGGUGAAAAGAACCCCGGGAGGGGAGUGAAAUAGAACCUGAAAUCAUGCGUCUACAAACUGUGGGAGCCUUACGGGGCGACCGCAUGCCUUUUGCAUAAUGAGCCUGCGACUUACUUUGUACGGCAAGGUUAAGCUUUAUAGUGAAGCCGAAGCGAAAGCGAGUGUGAAUAGCGCGUUUUAGUCGUGCGGAGUAGACCCGAAACCGAGUGAUCUACCCAUGGGCAGGAUGAACCUCUGGUAACACAGAGUGGAGGUCCGAACCAUUGCGUGUUGAAAAACGCUUGGAUGACCUGUGGGUAGGGGUGAAAGGCCAAUCAAACUCGGUGAUAGCUGGUUCUUUCCGAAAUAGCUUGAGGGCUAGCCUCAAAUAAGAUAGCGCACGGGGGUAGAGCACUGAUUAUUCGCGGGUCCUUACCAGGAUACCAACAAUUGUCAAACUCCGAAUACCGUGUUGCCGUAACUUGGGAGUCAGACUGUGGGGGAUAAGCUUCAUAGUCGAAAGGGAAACAGCCCAGACCGCCGGCUAAGGUCCCUAAUUUGGACUAAGUGGUACUAAGGAGGUGGAAUUGCAUAGACAGCCAGGAUGUUGGCUUAGAGGCAGCCAUCAUUUAAAGAGUGCGUAAUAGCUCACUGGUCGAGUGAUUCUGCGCCGAAGAUGAUCGGGACUAAGUCCAAAACCGAAGCCGCGGAUAUCAUUUCUUCGGAAAUGAUAUGGUAGGAAAGCGUUGUGUACUGGGUUGAAGCGGGAAGGUAACUGACCGUGGACUGUACACAAGUGACCAUGCAGGCAUGAGUAGCGAAAAACCAGGUGAGAAUCCUGGUCACCGAAAGCCUAAGGUUUCCUGGGGAAGGUUCGUCCGCCCAGGGUUAGUCGGAUCCUAAGGCGAGGCCGAAAGGCGUAGUCGAUGGAUAACAGGUUAAUAUUCCUGUACCGAAUGGUUUUAGCGAUGGAGGGACGCAGUAUGCUAGGCGACCCGGCGAUUGGAAGUGCCGGGCUAAGGCUGCAGGGUGUCGGGUAGGCAAAUCCGCCCGGCGUGAAGCCCGAGAGCUGAUGGGACCGAGAGUCUUCGGACAAUUGGGAUUCGCUGAUGCUAUGCUGCCAAGAAAAGCUUCUAAGCGUUUGACGACCAUUCGUCCGUACCGCAAACCGACACAGGCAGGCAAGGCGAGAAGCCUCAGGUGCGCGAGAGAAACCACGUUAAGGAACUCGGCAAAUUAGCCCCGUAACUUCGGGAGAAGGGGUGCCCCAUUAGGGUGAAGGCCUUCGCGGCUGGAGCUCGAGGGGGUCGCAGCGAAGCGGCCCAGGCGACUGUUUAGCAAAAACACAGCACUCUGCUAACUCGCAAGAGGAUGUAUAGGGUGUGACACGUGACCAAUGCCGAAAUGUCAAAGGGAUCUGUUAUCCUUCGGGAGAAGCGGUGAACUGAAGCACCGGUGAAUGUCGGCCGUAACUAUAACGGUCCUAAGGUAGCGAAAUUCCUUGUCGGGUAAGUUCCGACCCGCACGAAUCGUGUAACGAUCUGGGCACUGUCUCAACGUGGUUCUCGGCGAAGUUGUAAGUCCGGUGAAAAUGCCGGAUACCCGCAGUAGGACGGAAAGACCCCGUGAACCUUUACUGUAAUUUGAUAUUGGCGUUUGGUUUUUGAUGUGUAGGAUAGGUGGGAGCCUUUGAAGCGGUGUCGUCAGGCAUCGUGGAGGCAACCUUGAAAUACCACCCUUUAACGGUUGAGCGUCUAACCUGUUUCCGUCAUCCGGAGCAGGGACAUUGUCAGAGGGUCAGUUUGACUGGGGCGGUUUCCUCCCAAAGCGUAACGGAGGAGUUCAAAGGUGUACUCAGCAUGGUUGGCAAUCAUGCGUGGAGCGUAAGGGUAUAAGUGCGCCUUACUGCGAGACCGACGGGUCGAGCAGUUGCGAAAGCAGGACCUAGUGAUCCAGCGGUGGAAUGUGGCAUCGCCGUUGCUCAUCGGAUAAAAGGUACUCCGGGGAUAACAGGCUAAUACUGCCCAAGCGUCCAUAGCGACGGCAGUGUUUGGCACCUCGAUGUCGGCUCAUCACAUCCUGG
This 2199-nucleotide ribosomal RNA is filed under the name marine metagenome. Its description in RNAcentral is "bacterial LSU rRNA". It matches the Rfam family "Bacterial large subunit ribosomal RNA", at positions 376 to 2550 of the family's 2925-position model. The record is from RNAcentral.